Molecule: ribosomal RNA, 288 nt
Filed under: Paramuribaculum sp.
Lineage: Bacteria; Pseudomonadati; Bacteroidota; Bacteroidia; Bacteroidales; Muribaculaceae
Description: partial 23S ribosomal RNA
Rfam family: Bacterial large subunit ribosomal RNA
Source: RNAcentral
ACAGUUCGGUCUCUAUCUGUUGUGGGCGCAGGAGAUUUGCGAGGACCCGACACUAGUACGAGAGGACCGUGUUGGACAGACCACCGGUGUACCGGUUGUCCCGCCAGGGGCACCGCCGGGUAGCCGCGUCUGGCAAGGAUAAGUGCUGAAAGCAUCUAAGCACGAAGCCCCCCUCAAGAUAAGAUCUCCAUAUAGGGUCGUUAAAGACGAUGACGUAGAUAGGUCGCAGGUGUACGUGUGGUAACACAUUCAGCCGAGCGAUACUAAUCACCCGAACCCUUUCAAGGA